RNAcentral lists this ribosomal RNA (422 nucleotides) under uncultured bacterium. RNAcentral's name for it is "bacterial SSU rRNA". It matches the Rfam family "Bacterial small subunit ribosomal RNA", at positions 355 to 774 of the family's 1533-position model. The record is from RNAcentral.
UAAGGAAUAUUGGUCAAUGGACGAGAGUCUGAACCAGCCAAAUCGCGUGAAGGAAGACUGCCCUACGGGUUGUAAACUUCUUUUGUACAGGAAUAAAAGACAUUACGUGUAAUGUAUUGCAUGUACUGUACGAAUAAGCAUCGGCUAACUCCGUGCCAGCAGCCGCGGUAAUACGGAGGAUGCGAGCGUUAUCCGGAUUUAUUGGGUUUAAAGGGUGCGCAGGCGGGAUUUUAAGUCAGCGGUGAAAUUUUCAGGCUCAACCUGAACACUGCCGUUGNAACUGGGAUUCUUGAGUAUGGAUGAAGUAGGCGGAAUUCGUUGUGUAGCGGUGACAUGCUUAGAUAUAACGAGGAACUCCGAUUGCGUAGGCAGCUUACUAAGCCAUAACUGACGCUCAAGCACGAAAGCGUGGGGAUCAAACA